GGACCCCAGCUAGCUGGUCUCUGAAUAAAUUCCUCUUGCUUGUUGCAUCAAGAAACGCCUUCUGUGAGUGAUUUGGGGCGGCGCUCUCCUCUGAGAGAAUCCAACAUUUGGGGGCUCGUCCGGGAUCGCGUGCCCCCCCCCCCCGGAGGAACGACAAGCCAAGGAUCGGAGGCUUGCCCUGGCCAGCUUUUUUCCCCUCCUGAAGAUGAAAGCAGAAGAAUCUACCAUCUGCUACCAUUCUCUCAAGAAUGCUUGAAAUAUCAGAAUUUCCUUAUGUCAACUGUCUUACAGUAAGCUCUCAUCAGAUUCUUAACCAUUGUCAUUUGUGCAGAGACCUCAAGAAGAGAGAGAAAGGAUCCUCCUGGAAGCAUGAAAGAACGUGCCUAGAACUGAUAGACGACCAUCGCGACUCCCUCAUGAUAUAGAGAGGGGGUUCCCGCUGACCAGACCCAACUGGGACUUUAAUUCUCCAGAAAGUAGAGAGCGACUAACCAUCUAUCGCCAGGCUCUAGUGGCGAGUCUCUGCGGAGCCGCGAGGCGCCCCACUAAUUUAGCCAAAGUUACGGGCCCUAGAAGUUGUACAGAGAGAAGUGUGGGCCUCCGUCCGGGAAGCCUAUCGGCCAGAAGACCUCUCAGUGCCCCAUCAAUUCCAGGUGAGAGACUCUGUCUACGUGAGACGACAACGAACGAGAAAUCUUGAGCCUCUGUGGAAAAGACCCUUUAUCAUCCUCCUGACCACCCCCACAGCCGUGAAAGUAGAUGGCAUCUCCUCCUGGGUACACGCAUUACAUCUGAAGAAAGCGCACCAGCUAGACCCGGAUUGGCGAGUAACUCGGAUUGAUAACCCAUUUAAGCUUCGCUUGUGCAGAAAAAAACACUCUAUCAGUGAAUUUGAACCCAGACGGAGAUAUAGAAGAGAACCAGUUUCGCUGACUCUAGCUGUGCUAUUGAGAGUAAGAGUUGCAGCUAAAGUAGGAACGGGGACAGCCGCUAUUAUCCAAGAGAAUCAGCAUUAUGAGAGAUUAAGAGCAGCUAUUGAUGAAGAUUUAAAAACCAUAGAACAAUCCAUUACCAAACUUGAAGAAUCCUUAACCUCUCUUUCUGAAGUAGUCCUGCAAAACAGGCGAGGAUUAGAUCUACUGUUCUUAAAAGAAGGAAGAUUGUGUGCAGCCCUGAGAGAAGAAUGCUGCUUCUAUGCAGACCAUUCUAGAAUAGCAAGAGAUUCAAUGUCUAAACUCAGAGAAAAACUAGAUCAAAAAAAGAGAGAGCGAGAAGCCAGCUAAGAGCUAUUUGAGUCCUAGUUUACUAGAUCUCCGUGGCUUACAACCUUGAUAUCCACCUUGACUGGGCCUUUACUUAUUCUUAUAUUACUCCUCACUUUAAGACCCUGUAUACUAAAUCAGCUGAUAACUUUUGUUAGAGAAAGAGUGAGUACCGUUCAAGUGCUAAUGUUGAAGCAACAAUAUCAUUCACUCACACAACAAGAAAACACAAGCAUUCCAUGAUUGGAAUGCUCCUUAGAAAAGAAGUGGGAAAUGUAGAACCCUUCACUAAGAAUCAACCUUAUUGAAGAUAGAAAGUUAGCAUAAGUAUAGCCUUCUUAAAAGCUUAGACACUAUUUUCUAACCUAGAAGGAAGAAAAUAGGAAAAUAUUAGAACCUUGAAAAACAAGUUAGUCAGUCAGUGUUGAUUGCAAUGACCUUUAGUUAGCUAACCUCAAUCAGUUAAUCAUACAUACCAAGCUUACCUUACUAAGAACCACCCUAACAUUCCGAGGGUGAUCUUAUCUCACCAGACCCCCAGGAUGUGGCGUCAGCCAAAAUGUAUGUGUUUUUUAGAAAAACAAUGUGAUGUGCUUGUAGAAAAAUACUGCCCUUUUUGAAAAUGCUAUAAAAACCUCUGACUCUAAGUGCUCGGGGUCCUUGUUGAGACCCGCUGCGUCGGGCUGACACUUAGACCCCAGCUAGCUGGUCUCUGAAUAAAUUCCUCUUGCUUGUUGCAUCAAGAAACGCCUUCUGUGAGUGAUUUGAGGCGGCGCUCUCCUCUGAGAGAAUCCAACAAUGGGGUGUGUGUGUGGGACUUGAUGAUGGGGGGAA
This is a long non-coding RNA of Manis pentadactyla (Chinese pangolin), 2096 nucleotides long. RefSeq lists it as uncharacterized. NCBI's taxonomy places the organism in Eukaryota, Metazoa, Chordata, Mammalia, Pholidota, Manidae. The record is from RefSeq and is a predicted model, not a curated record. The transcript has 4 exons.